GCCGGCGUGGCGAAAUGGCAGACGCAGUUGACUCAAAAUCAUCCGGAGAAAUCCAUGUCGGUUCGAGUCCGACCGCCGGCA
RNAcentral lists this transfer RNA (81 nucleotides) under Verrucomicrobium sp. Its description in RNAcentral is "tRNA-Leu". It matches the Rfam family "tRNA". Rfam says of the family: Transfer RNA (tRNA) molecules are approximately 80 nucleotides in length. Their secondary structure includes four short double-helical elements and three loops (D, anti-codon, and T loops). Further hydrogen bonds mediate the characteristic L-shaped molecular structure. tRNAs have two regions of fundamental functional importance: the anti-codon, which is responsible for specific mRNA codon recognition, and the 3' end, to which the tRNAs corresponding amino acid is attached (by aminoacyl-tRNA synthetases). tRNAs cope with the degeneracy of the genetic code in two manners: having more than one tRNA (with a specific anti-codon) for a particular amino acid; and 'wobble' base-pairing, i.e. permitting non-standard base-pairing at the 3rd anti-codon position. The record is from RNAcentral. Lineage: Bacteria; Pseudomonadati; Verrucomicrobiota; Verrucomicrobiia; Verrucomicrobiales; Verrucomicrobiaceae.